This 849-nucleotide unclassified non-coding RNA is filed under the name Hevea brasiliensis (rubber tree). The record is from RNAcentral. Lineage: Eukaryota; Viridiplantae; Streptophyta; Magnoliopsida; Malpighiales; Euphorbiaceae.
ACAAAGGAAGAAAAAACAGAUAAUUUAUAAGGUACACACUCUUUCGACAAAAGAAAAGUCUAAUGAUCACCAGCUCUUUCCAUCAAAACUUCAGAACAGCAGAAAUCAUAUCUUGUUGAAAGCAACAAUAUCACAGCUCUGCACAUACUCAUUGAUAGGCUCAACUGUUAGAUAAUUCUCAAUGAGAUCAUCCACGGAGACCAAAUCAUCCACAAUGGUAAGCAUAAUUUGCAGCUUCUUAAUACCAUAUCCAACAGGAACAAGUUUAGAUGCUCCAAAAGUCAAUCCUUCCAUAGUAACACUUCGAACUGCUUCUUCAAGCUUUUUCAUAUCAGUCUCAUCAUCCCAUGGCUUGACAUCCAUGAGAACAGAGGACUUGCCAGAUUCUUUCUUCUUCCCUGAAGCCUUCAAUGCUGCAGCGCGUUCUUCAGCAGCUUUCUUUUCCUCUUCAGUCUCCUCACCAAAUAGGUCAACGUCAUCAUCGUCGUCAUCAUCGUCAGCAGCUGAGGCCUUACUGUCAUCAGCAGGGGGAGUUGCAACAGCCCCAGUGAUGGGUGCAGACCCCUCUACAAUAACACCAGCACCUUCACCGGAUACACCAGAGAUUCUCAAAAGUGCAUCAAUGUGCUUAUACCACCUCAAUGCAUUAACAUAUUCAGCUGAUGGAGGUUUUGCUAGAUAUGAAUACACAGUGAUAUCAUCCUUUGAUGCUUGGUACCCACUGAUGUAACUGCGGGUCAGGAGGAAGUCGUCAAGCUUCUUGAGGCCAGAUUCAGAGUUGACGUUCUGAAAUGCAACAGCCAUUGCUUGGUGCUAAUAUAUAUAUAAGCCUCUAUUGGAAGAGAUACA